Pongo abelii (Sumatran orangutan) is the source of this 98-nucleotide Y RNA. It matches the Rfam family "Y RNA". Rfam says of the family: Y RNAs are components of the Ro ribonucleoprotein particle (Ro RNP), in association with Ro60 and La proteins. The Y RNAs and Ro60 and La proteins are well conserved, but the function of the Ro RNP is not known. In humans the RNA component can be one of four small RNAs -- hY1, hY3, hY4 and hY5. The record is from Ensembl. Lineage: Eukaryota; Metazoa; Chordata; Mammalia; Primates; Hominidae.
UAUUGGCCCGAGUGCACUGGUGUUUACAGCUAAUUGAUCACAACCAGUUAUAAAUUUGUUUCUUCUCCACUCCCACUGCUUCACUUGACUAGCCUUAA